GAACGUUGAAGCGGUUGGCGUUCCGAUUGCGUUGGGCCGUGGAGUUCUCGGAGGGGUUUUGCAACAACCUCAAGUCGGAUAGGCUGAAAGGCCGAAAGAAAAUGCAACGA
RNAcentral lists this non-coding RNA (110 nucleotides) under unclassified sequences. RNAcentral describes it as "drum RNA". It matches the Rfam family "drum RNA". From Rfam's summary of the family: Firmicutes, Bacteroidetes (1 example), Proteobacteria (2 examples), Spirochaetes (2 examples). Terminator (Clostridia) The record is from Rfam by way of RNAcentral.